RNAcentral lists this ribosomal RNA (491 nucleotides) under uncultured bacterium. RNAcentral's name for it is "partial 16S ribosomal RNA". It matches the Rfam family "Bacterial small subunit ribosomal RNA", at positions 28 to 507 of the family's 1533-position model. The record is from RNAcentral.
GAUGAACGCUGGCUCCAGGCUUAACACAUGCAAGUCGAGGGGAAACGACGGGGAAGCUUGCUUCCCCGGGCGUCGACCGGCGCACGGGUGAGUAACGCGUAUCCAACCUGCCUCUGACUGAGGGAUAACCCGUCGAAAGUCGGCCUAAUACCUCAUGGCAUCGUCUGCGGGCAUCCAACGACGAUUAAAGAUUUCAUCGGUCAGAGAUGGGGAUGCGUCUGAUUAGCUUGUUGGCGGGGUAACGGCCCACCAAGGCGACGAUCAGUAGGGGUUCUGAGAGGAAGGUCCCCCACAUUGGAACUGAGACACGGUCCAAACUCCUACGGGAGGCAGCAGUGAGGAAUAUUGGUCAAUGGGCGAGAGCCUGAACCAGCCAAGUAGCGUGCAGGAGGACGGCCCUAUGGGUUGUAAACUGCUUUUAUGCGGGGAUAAAGUGAGGGACGUGUCCUUCAUUGCAGGUACCGCAUGAAUAAGGACCGGCUAAUUCCGUG